CCUACGGGUGGCAGCAGUGAGGAAUAUUGGUCAAUGGCCGUAAGGCUGAACCAGCCAAGUAGCGUGAGGGAAGACUGCCCUAUGGGUUGUAAACCUCUUUUAUGCGGGGAUAAAGGUGUCCACGUGUGGAUGUUUGCAGGUACCGCAUGAAUAAGGACCGGCUAAUUCCGUGCCAGCAGCCGCGGUAAUACGGAAGGUCCGGGCGUUAUCCGGAUUUAUUUGGUUUAAAGGGAGCGUAGGCCGGUCUUUAAGCGUGCCGUGAAAUUUUGUGGCGCAACCAUGAGAGUGAGGCGCGAACUGGAGAGCUUGAGUGAGCAGAAGGCAGGCGGAAGUCGUGGUGUAGCGGUGAAAUGCUUAGAUAUAACGAAGAACCCCGAUGGCGAAGGCAGACUGCCGAAGCGUUACUGACGCUGAAGCUCGAAAGCGCGGGUAUCGAACAGGAUUAGAUACACUUGGAGGC
RNAcentral lists this ribosomal RNA (460 nucleotides) under uncultured bacterium. Its description in RNAcentral is "partial 16S ribosomal RNA". It matches the Rfam family "Bacterial small subunit ribosomal RNA", at positions 338 to 795 of the family's 1533-position model. The record is from RNAcentral.